UUGUCUUUGUGCGAGCUUCUGCAGGUUCCUUUCACCAUUGAAGAUCCAGAUUACAAGGGGCUUGAGCUGGAUGUGAUGUCUCCAUGUGAGAAGCACGGCAUGGCAUCUGAGAGGCUUGUUGCCUUUGAAGGAACAAACACAGGCAGGAGGUUUUUAGCAUGUGCACAGCCGGAAGGUAGCAAUUGUGGCUUUGUUGAAUGGGUUGAUCACCAGUGGCCCCCAACAAUGCAGAAUGCAUUGUUGAAGCUAUGGGCAAUGGUUGAAGAUGCCAAAAGUGCUAGGGUGAAUGACAAUCUUGAGAAUUCUUUCACUAUCCACCAUCUGACAGAAGAGAAGAACAAGCUGGAGGCCAACUAUGACAAGCUAGUCCAAGAUGUGCAUGAGCUGAUGAACUUCCAGGAAGAUAAGGUGGUGGAUUUCAGGCAUCUGCGGUCUGCCAUUACAUAUCAGCAAGAGGUAAGAAAAGAACUGACUGAUGAUAUGAAGGCAAAGAUGGCAACUGAGAUGGCAAAGAAAGAUGCAGAGACCCAGCAACUUACUCAGAAGUAUGAGGUGCUGCUCAACCUGACAAGAGCUCAAGCAACAGUCAUUCAGAACUUGAAGUUGAACAAAAUGUAA
RNAcentral lists this ribosomal RNA (618 nucleotides) under Triticum aestivum (bread wheat). RNAcentral's name for it is "partial small subunit ribosomal RNA". Lineage: Eukaryota; Viridiplantae; Streptophyta; Magnoliopsida; Poales; Poaceae. The record is from RNAcentral.